GACGGAGGAUGCAAGUGUUAUCCGGAAUCACUGGGCGUAAAGCGUCUGUAGGUGGUUUAAUAAGUCAACUGUUAAAUCUCGAGGCCCAACCUCGAAAUCGCAGUCGAAACUAUUAGACUAGAGUAUAGUAGGGGUAAAGGGAAUUUCCAGUGGAGCGGUGAAAUGCGUAGAGAUUGGAAAGAACACCUAUGGCGAAGGCACUUUACUGGGCUAUUACUAACACUCAGAGACGAAAGCUAGGGUAGCAAAUGGG
Molecule: ribosomal RNA, 253 nt
Filed under: uncultured bacterium
Lineage: Bacteria
Description: partial 16S ribosomal RNA
Rfam family: Bacterial small subunit ribosomal RNA
Source: RNAcentral